RNAcentral lists this ribosomal RNA (113 nucleotides) under Brevibacillus sp. SYP-B805. RNAcentral describes it as "partial 23S ribosomal RNA". It matches the Rfam family "Bacterial large subunit ribosomal RNA", at positions 2815 to 2925 of the family's 2925-position model. The record is from RNAcentral. Lineage: Bacteria; Bacillati; Bacillota; Bacilli; Caryophanales; Paenibacillaceae.
ACAGCGUCAAGCUGGUAAGACCCCUCAUAGACGAUGAGGUUGAUAGGUUCGGUGUGGAAGCGCGGCAACGCGUGGAGCUGACGAAUACUAAUCGGUCGAGGACUUAUCCACAA